This 259-nucleotide ribosomal RNA is filed under the name uncultured bacterium. Its description in RNAcentral is "partial 16S ribosomal RNA". It matches the Rfam family "Bacterial small subunit ribosomal RNA", at positions 1244 to 1500 of the family's 1533-position model. The record is from RNAcentral.
GGGAAGCAAAACGGCGACGUGGAGNAAACCCCUAAAAACGCGUCCCAGUUCAGAUCGCAGGCUGCAACCCGCCUGCGUGAAGUCGGAAUUGCUAGUAAUCGCGGAUCAGCAUGCCGCGGUGAAUACGUUCCCGGGCCUUGUACACACCGCCCGUCACACCAUGGGAGCCGGUAACACCCGAAGUCAGUAGCCUGACCAAUUCUGGAGGGCGCUGCCGAAGGUGGGAUUGGUGACUGGGGUGAAGUCGUAACAAGGUACC